CCUACGGGAGGCAGCAGUGGGGAAUAUUGGGCAAUGGAGGAAACUCUGAUCCAGCAACGCCGCGUGAAUGAUGAAGGUCUUCGGAUUGUAAAGUUCUUUUCUAAGGGAAGAAGAUAGUGACGGUUCCUUAAGAAUAAGCCUCGGCUAACUACGUGCCAGCAGCCGCGGUAAUACGUAGGAGGGCAGCGUUAUCCGGAAUGACUGGGCGUAAAGGGGGCGUAGGUGGUAUGGCAAGUUAGUAGCGUAACUCCAAGGCUCAACCUUGGAACUACUACUAAAACUGUUGGACUUGAGUGCAGGAGGGGCAAGCGGAAUUCCUAGUGUAGCGGUGGAAUGCGUAGAUAUUAGGAGGAACACCAGUGGCGAAGGCGGGUUACUGGACUGUAACUGACACUGAGGCACGAAAGCGUGGGGAGCAAACAGGAUUAGAUACCCGAGUAGUC
RNAcentral lists this ribosomal RNA (443 nucleotides) under uncultured bacterium. Its description in RNAcentral is "partial 16S ribosomal RNA". It matches the Rfam family "Bacterial small subunit ribosomal RNA", at positions 338 to 795 of the family's 1533-position model. The record is from RNAcentral.